CAGCCGCCGCGGGAAUACGGAGGGAGCUAGCGUUGUUCGGAAUCACUGGGCGUAAAGCGCACGUAGGUGGCUAUUCAAGUCAGGGGUGAAAGCCCGGGGCUCAACCCCGGAACUGCCUUUGAAACUAGAUAGCUUGAAUCUUGGAGAGGCGAGUGGAAUUCCGAGUGUAGAGGUGAAAUUCGUAGAUAUUCGGAAGAACACCAGUGGCGAAGGCGGCUCGCUGGACAAGUAUUGACGCUGAGGUGCGAAAGCGUGGGGAGCAAACAGGAUUAGAGACCCCAGUAGUCCCUGUCUCUUAUAC
This 301-nucleotide ribosomal RNA is filed under the name uncultured bacterium. Its description in RNAcentral is "partial 16S ribosomal RNA". It matches the Rfam family "Bacterial small subunit ribosomal RNA", at positions 509 to 807 of the family's 1533-position model. The record is from RNAcentral.